CUACGUGCCAGCAGCCGCGGUAAUACGGAGGGUGCGAGCGUUAAUCGGAAUAACUGGGCGUAAAGGGCACGCAGGCGGUGACUUAAGUGAGGUGUGAAAGCCCCGGGCUUAACCUGGGAAUUGCAUUUCAUACUGGGUCGCUAGAGUACUUUAGGGAGGGGUAGAAUUCCACGUGUAGCGGUGAAAUGCGCAGAUAUCAGGAGGAACACCGAUGGCGAAGGCAGGUCUCUGGGCUGUAACUGACGCUGAGAAGCGAAAGCAUGGGGAGCGAACAGGAUUAGAUACCCUGGUAGUCCAUGCCGUAAACGUUGGGCACUAGGUGUGGGGAACAUUCCACGUUUUCCGCGCCGUAGCUAACGCAUUAAGUGCCCCGCCUGGGGAGUACGGCCGCAAGGCUAAAACUCAAAGAAAUUGACGGGGGCCCGCACAAGCGGCGGAGCAUGCGGAUUAAUUCGAUGCAACGCGAAGAACCUUACCAAGGCUUGACAU
RNAcentral lists this ribosomal RNA (489 nucleotides) under uncultured bacterium. RNAcentral's name for it is "bacterial SSU rRNA". It matches the Rfam family "Bacterial small subunit ribosomal RNA", at positions 501 to 987 of the family's 1533-position model. The record is from RNAcentral.